AUGGACGGCCAUAGUGGCAGGGAGCUACCUGUUCCCAUUUCGAACACAGAAGUAAAAACUGCCGACGUUCCAGCCGGUACUGCACUAUGUGUGGGAAAACUGGUUCGCUGUCCGCC
This 116-nucleotide ribosomal RNA is filed under the name archaeon GW2011_AR15. RNAcentral also lists the same sequence under 1 other name. The record is from RNAcentral.